AUAAAAGCUUUGAAGAGAAAGAGUAAAAUUAGCAGCGUUUUAAAGAGAGUUCCCGGGUGGUGAGAGGGGCAAAAUUAGUUGAUUUGAAUACAUCUCCGAGCUUCACUCCGAAAGAUAACAACCAGUAGGCAGUUGACGUUUUCUGCACACGUUAUAGUGCUAGAGUAUAACCCAAAACAAGUUUUUUGGAGUACUUGAAGAGUUUGUUAUUGUGAGGUAACAAUAAAUUAAGGUGGUAACACGUAAGUAAUGCUUUCGUCCUUUUA
This 266-nucleotide non-coding RNA is filed under the name Clostridium cellulovorans. RNAcentral's name for it is "T-box sequence". It matches the Rfam family "T-box leader". Rfam says of the family: Uncharged tRNA acts as the effector for transcription antitermination of genes in the T-box leader family. T-boxes are found upstream of many aminoacyl-tRNA synthetase genes and some amino acid biosynthetic genes usually in Gram-positive bacteria. The record is from RNAcentral. Lineage: Bacteria; Bacillati; Bacillota; Clostridia; Eubacteriales; Clostridiaceae.